CUGUACCUGGCUGUGCUGUACGUAUUUGUUAGCUAAAACCACCACACAGACUCACACACAAGAACUUCAUAACUAAACUACUGAGAGCAAAUCCCGCUCAGCAGUCAGUCACACCUUCUAUCGAGACAUGUCAGCACUCAACAGUCACCAAGUGGGAUCCUCCUGAGUCUGCCGGGGCAGGCGGAGGAGUCCCAGAGCCAGGGAAGGCACUGCUUCGAAGAGUUCUGUUGGCAGCAAUUCAUGCAAAGGUGCCAGCAAGAAAGCAUGGGGACUGUGCAUGCCAUUAUCAUAUUUUGAAUCAAAAUAAAAUGUGCCCAUCAAAUGUCUCCCUCAGAAGCAAACACACUGAUGCUAAUGCACAAUCUGAUAUUUCCUCAGAAUCAAUAACAUCUCUGCUUCUAGGUCUUUGUUACUGUAAAUCUUGACAAGAUUUUGUCAAGUGAUCUUCAAAAGGCCAGAGCCAAGACUGACCACGGCCCGAUGAUUUGGAGGGACAUGCCUCAGGCUGACCACUAGGUCUCAUGGACUGGCAUGCCUGUAUGACAUUCUCCAUACUCCUCUGCAAGAAACAGAGCAGAAAGGUCCUCGAAGUGCAAGCACAUGCCCUGGGUUCCUGAGAAUGCAGCAAGAAGCAGGGAAUUGUUUUCUUCCAUUAAGCCCUGCCCUGAGCAGAAAGAAAUCAUCUCUAAGCUCCUGUCUUGGGUGACAUGUUCCCUGACACAGGGUUGCUUUUCCUCACCUGUCUAAACUAAGUAAAGAGGAUCCAAUAUCCACUCAACGCUGAUCUUUUCAGCAGAUACUCAAAGGAUAAAGCAAGGAUAAUUUAUUCUUCUGUUUAAUCCCAUAGAGUGGAUUGUGAACUUCCAAACAGAGAGACAUUCUUCUGAGAAGAGAGCCCCCUUAUCAGUUUGGCCCUGUCCAAAAUGAUAACUCCACGUUGCCUUUGCCUGCAGGAAGUAUUUGUCCUCUGUCAAUAACUAAUUGUCAGGAUUGCAUUUGCCUCUGUAGAAGGGAAAUCUGAAAAACAUUUACAUAAACAUAAACAAAAACAUUUAGAGCCCAGGCUUCUAAAUGCAUGUGGGUUACAACCAACUUCCCACUUUAAUUAUGCUCCCAGUAUAACCCUAAGAGCAGAGGGGAAGGCGGCCGUCCUUCCCUUCAUUUGGCUCUUCUUGGGUGAGAAGCUCUUAAGAAAAAGAAACAGACAUCCCCAGUUUAUUUCUUGAAGCUAUUUCUUUUGUAAGGCGUAAUAUCCAGGUGGGUUUUGCAUACUUCAUGAACAGAACAUUUAAGUUGCUCUUAAAUUGAAUUUAUAGCACAAUUUUUAUAUAUAACCACAGAUUAUUUGUUUGUUUGUUCAAGCUAAAAUUAAAGCUGGCCGUCUACAUAAACCGUCCAUGGAGCGGCAAGGAUUUGCGCUCUGCCGCCUGCCCAAGAGUUCCACCGGAGACCAGAUACCAAGACAAACCAGCAAUUUGGUGUGGCUGCGCGUGCACUCAUUUCCCUGCCUGAGUACUCUGAGGUCAUUAAGGGGUGCUGGGUUCUUUAGAAAGACAUUCUCAUUAAGUGAAUGGUGUUGAACUGCAGUUUCAUAGCAGCCUAGGCAUAGGCGUCCAUGACACACACACACACACACACACACUGACACACAAAAACACACACACACACAAAAACACACAAACACACACAAAAACACACUCACAAACACACACACACAACACACACACACACAAACACAAAAUGAUUAUUAUAUUUACUUAUACAAGUUAUAUUUAAACUAUGCCUACAUACAGUAUAUAUGUUGCAAAACUAUUCCCCCCUAGAGGCCAAGGAGGUUGUCUUUCUCAUCUUUAAAUUCCUAGAAGUGAGUAUUUAGUUAAAAGUUACCAGCAUAUUUGGCUCCAGUUAUAUUAUCCUUGAUUUCUGAAUUUAUUCAUUCCGACAUAUCUACUGGGCACCUCUUGUGUUCUAGACAAUCUACAAAGCAUAUGGGUACCAAGACAGCCUUCUCAAGGAAUAUUCCAUCUACCAAAUUGAAUAUUUUGAUCUUACAAAUGAAUUCAUAAGGGAUUAUGGAUAUUAAAGAAGGGUUAAAGAUCAGUAGAAAAGUCCAAGUAUUUUUUACUUUGAACAUAACCCCCUAAGUUUAUACUGUUUGCUCAGAAAAAAAAGUAAUAACAAUGGCCUCUAAAUCCUUCCCUUCUUGUCUAUUUGUUUUUUAACUCUUCACUGGAGUGUGAAACCCUUGAGGGCAGAAACUCAGGCCCAGUGGCUUCUGCAGCUCCAGCUCCUGGCACCUGGCAGGCACUCGCUGCUGACAACCUGACCGACUUACUAAAUAAACCAAUAUCGAGAUUUUCAUGAGAUACCAGGACACAAGCUUCUAAAAAUGUUCAGCAUUCAAAAUAUCAGAAUAAGAGGUAGGAUGCUCCAAAGAAAUAAAUCAGCCUUCCCUAUCCGCAGCCCCGCCCCUGAGAGAGAUGUGCCAUGGGAAAGAAGAGCUUCCAACACUGGGAAAACUGCUCACCCUGGCACUGAAAUACAGGAAUUCUAGGAAUCCCUGCAUUUCAUGAACACUCUGAAUUUUUGAAAUAAAUAACGUGAAUGAUGACAACACAAGCCAUACAUACUGGCACUCACAUGCAAGCCCCAGGCGGGGGCUGCAUGGCAGAGCUGCAGGCCAGUUGGAAAUAUGAAUGACUGCGCUUCUGAUGUGUUUUUUAGGCUGCUAAUUUUUACAGCCAAGAGAUUUGCUAUUAUAAGUUCACUUCAACGUGGCUGAAAGGAAUGGAAAUGAAUUGGCAGAUGUUACAGGUUGUCUUUACCUUUAAUCUGUAUUCGUAACUACACCCUGGACUGAGACCCCUUUAAGAUACUACAUUGAUCCAAGGUAAAAAGUAAUAUACUGCAGGUCCUCAAAUAACAUCGUGUCAUUCAAUGUCAUUUCAUUAUAAUAUUGGUGAGAAAAAAAAAACUGAUUCCAGCUGGGGUCACUGUCAGUGUGGUGUGUGCAGUUCUCCCCAUGUCUGUGUGGGUUUUCUCUGAGUACUCCCAUUUCCUCCCACAUCCCAAAGCUGUGCACAUUAGGUUCAUUGGUCCCAGUCUGAGUGAGUGUGGGUGUGUGAGAGUGUGUGUACCCUGCAAUGGGAUGGCAUCCUGGCCAGGACUCAUUCCCCCCUUGCACCUUGACUCUGAGCUGGAAUA
This 3204-nucleotide long non-coding RNA is filed under the name Homo sapiens (human). RNAcentral's name for it is "HSALNT0198342". Lineage: Eukaryota; Metazoa; Chordata; Mammalia; Primates; Hominidae. The record is from RNAcentral.